This 482-nucleotide ribosomal RNA is filed under the name uncultured bacterium. RNAcentral's name for it is "bacterial SSU rRNA". It matches the Rfam family "Bacterial small subunit ribosomal RNA", at positions 28 to 507 of the family's 1533-position model. The record is from RNAcentral.
GACGAACGCUGGCGGCGUGCCUAACACAUGCAAGUCGAGCGGAGAUAUGUAGAGGAAGUUUUCGGAUGGAGUUUAUAUAUUUUAGCGGCGGACGGGUGAGUAACGCGUGAGGAACCUGCCCUUUACAGGGGGAUAACGCACCGAAAGAUGCACUAAUACCGCAUGAGACCACAGCACCGCAUGGUGCAGGGGUCAAAGGAGUAAUCCGGUGAAGGAGGGACUCGCGUCCGAUUAGAUAGUUGGUGAGGUAACGGCUCACCAAGUCAACGAUCGGUAGCCGACCUGAGAGGGUGAUCGGCCACAUUGGAACUGAGACACGGUCCAAACUCCUACGGGAGGCAGCAGUGGGGAAUAUUGGGCAAUGGGGGGAACCCUGACCCAGCGACGCCGCGUGAGGGAAGAAGGUUUUCGGAUUGUAAACCUCUGUCCUUGGUGAAGAGAAGAAGACGGUAGCCAAGGAGGAAGCCCCGGCUAACUACGUG